This 714-nucleotide ribosomal RNA is filed under the name uncultured bacterium. Its description in RNAcentral is "bacterial SSU rRNA". It matches the Rfam family "Bacterial small subunit ribosomal RNA", at positions 111 to 823 of the family's 1533-position model. The record is from RNAcentral.
UAACGCGUAUCCAACCUGCCUGUUACCACGGCACAGCCCGUCGAAAGGCGGAUUAAUGCCGUAUGUUGUCCUUUGCGGGCAUCUAAUUAGGACUAAAGGUUCAGCGGUAACAGAUGGGGAUGCGUCCGAUUAGCUAGACGGCGGGGUAACGGCCCACCGUGGCGACGAUCGGUAGGGGUUCUGAGAGGAAGGUCCCCCACACUGGAACUGAGACACGGUCCAGACUCCUACGGGAGGCAGCAGUGAGGAAUAUUGGUCAAUGGGCGGAAGCCUGAACCAGCCAAGUAGCGUGAGGGAAGACUGCCCUAUGGGUUGUAAACCUCUUUUGUGCGGGGAUAAAGUGUGGGACGUGUCCCAUAUUGCAGGUACCGCACGAAUAAGGACCGGCUAAUUCCGUGCCAGCAGCCGCGGUAAUACGGAAGGUCCGGGCGUUAUCCGGAUUUAUUGGGUUUAAAGGGAGCGCAGGCCGUCCUUUAAGCGUGCUGUGAAACGCCGCGGCUCAACCGUGGCACUGCAGCGCGAACUGGAGGACUUGAGUACGCACGAGGUAGGCGGAAUUCGUGGUGUAGCGGUGAAAUGCUCAGAUAUCACGAAGAACUCCGAUUGCGAAGGCAGCUUACCGGAGCGCAACUGACGCUGAGGCUCGAAAGCGCGGGUAUCGAACAGGAUUAGAUACCCUGGUAGUCCGCGCGGUAAACGAUGGAUGCCCGCCGU